GAUGAACGCUGGCGGCGUGCCUAAUACAUGUAAGUCGAGCGAACAGACGAGGAGCUUGCUCCUCUGACGUUAGCGGCGGACGGGUGAGUAACACGUGGAUAACCUACCUAUAAGACUGGGAUAACUUCGGGAAACCGGAGCUAAUACCGGAUAACAUGUUGAACCGCAUGGUUCAACAGUGAAAGACGGUCUUGCUGUCACUUAUAGAUGGAUCCGCGCCGCAUUAGCUAGUUGGUAAGGUAACGGCUUACCAAGGCAACGAUGCGUAGCCGACCUGAGAGGGUGAUCGGCCACACUGGAACUGAGACACGGUCCAGACUCCUACGGGAGGCAGCAGUAGGGAAUCUGCCGCAAUGGGCGAAAGCCUGACGGAGCAACGCCGCGUGAGUGAAGAAGGUCUUCGGAUCGUAAAACUCUGUUAUUAGGGAAGAACAAAUGUGUAAGUAACUAUGCACGUCUUGACGGUACCUAAUCAGAAAGCCACGGCUAACUACGUG
Molecule: ribosomal RNA, 497 nt
Filed under: uncultured bacterium
Lineage: Bacteria
Description: partial 16S ribosomal RNA
Rfam family: Bacterial small subunit ribosomal RNA
Source: RNAcentral